ACUUGGCGGCCGCAGGGCUGGCUCAGUGGACCGCAGGGGAGAAAACAGGGCAAGGGGUUGAGCGCCAUCAGGAGCCAUUCCACAGUGACCAUGGAGGAGCAGAGACUGCAUGGUGGGGGUUGUGAGUGGGGAGAAAGCGUCCACUCACCUGAAAGCCCAACGACCUGGUCUCCUCGGCAUCAGACUUACACAGCAGUUCCAUCCACCUUGACCUUAGGGCUCAGGGCAUCUGCAGCCCUACUGCCGGCCCUCGGCCUCACUGCCCUCAUCUGGCAGCUUCUAUGUGCUCUCGGGGCUGGAGAGGUCAGGAAGAAAUAGACAGAGUGGGCCAGGCUUGGUCGGAGUCCAUACAGAGCAGGCCCCCUCUGCACGGGGAGUCACAGAUUUCUGGAAACCUCAGCUGAGCCUGGUGCAGUGGCACAGAGCAGCCCUGCCCCAGUUCCCAGUGGUGACUCCUCUGGGGUUCAGCACAUGGGACAGAAGACCUGCCCUGGGGAGGUGCAAAAGAGCGGCAAUGCUAACGCCACCUGGGCUCCCUGGCCCUGCAGGCAUCUUCCUUCAUGUUCUCUGGGGGAGAGACUGACUGUGGGAAUCAGCCUUGGUUGCAAAGGGAAGCUGAGAGAAGAGAGCAGCGCAGGGCACGGACAUGCCAGCCCAGUUACUGGAGAUAUCUGCCGCUGGAGACGGGUUCAGAGCCUAGUUUAAUAUCCCGAAUUUCUGAUGCCAAGCUGAUCAUCGUCUCAGCACCAGCAAAGACAUGCUAUUCCCGUCCCUGACGAGCAUUUCCUUCUUGAGAAAGUGAUUUUGAGGGGCUGCAGAUGUACUUGGAGGAAGGUUUGGGCCGGGACAGAUGACGUGCCCAUGUGGGAGCUGGACGGCCCCUCUCUGGGUAGCUCCCUGGGAACUCCCAUGUCCGCCUCCCGCUGCCUCCUGAUCCAAGGUGGAUGCACUUCAUUUGAGGCCUGGUCUUUCGUCCUUCCCUCUCCUCUUCGGGGACCACUUUGUCUAGUGCUAGACUCAUUGUGCUUCCCCCUUGGGGCUUCCUUCAGCCCUCAGCCGAUUCAAGACUUCAAAAGGAAGUUGGACAUGGAGAGGAAAAAAGAAAUGAAACCAGGAAGGAACCGCCAAGAAGCACACAACGCGUUUAUGCUGCCUUAACCACACGCUUGACUCUAAAUGGGUUUAAAAAUUCUUACUUGUGUUAGCCCAAGAAAGUUUCUGCAGCCGUCUUUUUGGUUUAAACAAUCAAAUACUCA
This 1256-nucleotide long non-coding RNA is filed under the name Homo sapiens (human). RNAcentral describes it as "long intergenic non-protein coding RNA 2827". The record is from RNAcentral. Lineage: Eukaryota; Metazoa; Chordata; Mammalia; Primates; Hominidae.